This is a long non-coding RNA of Papaver somniferum (opium poppy), 432 nucleotides long. RefSeq lists it as uncharacterized. The record is from RefSeq and is a predicted model, not a curated record. The transcript is spliced from 2 exons. Lineage: Eukaryota; Viridiplantae; Streptophyta; Magnoliopsida; Ranunculales; Papaveraceae.
GGGAUAAUUUCUUCGGUUUGGUGUUUAGGUUCCUGUAAAAGAAAAAAAAAUACAGUAGGUUUUAAGAUAUUUUUUGGCAUAAAUCUUUUAGAAUAGUUAAGGGAGUCUUUAUCACUGGAUGGAUUGGAGAUUUCGUAUUCCUAUCGCUAGCGUUUGAGAUUUUAUGGCACCACAAGGAGUUAAUGGCGGAAAAGCGUAGAGAUAGGUUUUGGUGCUAUUAAUAGUAGUUUGCAUAGGAUUUAUGAUUGGAAUUGUAAUAAAAUAUCAUCAACUCUUUUAGAUGAUUUAAUUAGUUAUUUAUUGGGUAUUAAAGCUUUAAAGAUUAUUGGGUUAAUGUAUAACCAAAGAAAACAAUGCUUUGUUUAGACUACUCUAUUUGAUUGAAUAAUGGAAAUUUCUGGAUCAUGUCAGUUUGACUGUCUAUCAUAAUUA